AUUGAACGCUGGCGGCAGGCCUAACACAUGCAAGUCGAGCGGAUGAAGGGAGCUUGCUCCUGGAUUCAGCGGCGGACGGGUGAGUAAUGCCUAGGAAUCUGCCUGCUAGUGGGGGAUAACGUCCGGAAACGGGCGCUAAUACCGCAUACGUCCUGAGCGAGAAAGUGGGGGAUCUUCGGACAUCACGCUAUCAGAUGAGCCUAGGUCGGAUUGGCUAGUUGGUGGGGUAAAGGCCUACCAAGGCGACGAUCCGUAACUGGUCUGAGAGGAUGAUCAGUCACACUGGAACUGAGACACGGUCCAGACUCCUACGGGAGGGAGCAGUGGGGAAUAUUGGGCAAUGGGCGAAAGCCUGAUCCAGCCAUGCCGCGUGUGUGAAGAAGGUGUUCGGAUUGUAAAGCACUUUGAGUUGGGAGGAAGGGCAGUAAGUUGAUACCUUGCUGUUUUGACGGUACCAACAGAAUAAGCACCGGCUAACUUCGUG
RNAcentral lists this ribosomal RNA (484 nucleotides) under uncultured bacterium. RNAcentral describes it as "partial 16S ribosomal RNA". It matches the Rfam family "Bacterial small subunit ribosomal RNA", at positions 30 to 507 of the family's 1533-position model. The record is from RNAcentral.